Molecule: ribosomal RNA, 323 nt
Filed under: Pseudo-nitzschia fraudulenta
Lineage: Eukaryota; Bacillariophyta; Bacillariophyceae; Bacillariales; Bacillariaceae
Description: LSU rRNA
Rfam family: Eukaryotic large subunit ribosomal RNA
Source: RNAcentral
AGAGGGUGAAACUCCCGUCCGCCUGGUAGAAUGAGCCUUUGUCAACGAGUCGAGUUGUUUGGGAUUGCAGCUCUAAUUUGGUGGUAAAUUCCAUCUAAAGCUAAAUAUUGGUGGGAGACCGAUAGCGUACAAGUACCGUGAGGGAAAGAUGCAAAGAACUUUGAAAAGAGGGUUAAAGAGUACCCGAAAUUGCUGAAACGGAAGCGAAGGAAACCAGUGUUUGUUGGUUCAUAUUUCCUUGGCCACUUGUGGUUUGGGCGCUGUGAGCUUGCGUGGGUUGGUUGGUUGAUCCCUUUGGAAGAGCGCAGUCAGAGUUGAUGUCU